GGGGGGAUUUUGCACAAUGGGCGGAAGCCUGAUGCAGCGACGCCGCGUGAGGGAGGAAGGGUUUCGGCCUGUAAACCUCUUUUGACGGGGAAGAUAAUGACGGUACCUGUCGAAUAAGCCCCGGCUAACUACGUGCCAGCAGCCGCGGUAAUACGUAGGGGGCGAGCGUUGUCCGGAUUUACUGGGCGUAAAGAGCGCGUAGGCGGCUUGUUAAGUUGGCUGUGAAAGUCCCUGGCCUAACUGGGGAAAGUCGGCCGAGACUGGCAGGCUUGAGAGCGGUAGAGGAAGGUGGAAUUCCGGGUGUAGUGGUGAAAUGCGUAGAUAUCCGGAGGAACACCGGUGGCGAAGGCGGCCUUCUGGGCCGUUUCUGACGCUGAGGCGCGAAAGCGUGGGUAGCGAACUGA
RNAcentral lists this ribosomal RNA (404 nucleotides) under uncultured bacterium. RNAcentral describes it as "bacterial SSU rRNA". It matches the Rfam family "Bacterial small subunit ribosomal RNA", at positions 355 to 776 of the family's 1533-position model. The record is from RNAcentral.